Mesocricetus auratus (golden hamster) is the source of this 520-nucleotide long non-coding RNA. RefSeq lists it as uncharacterized. The record is from RefSeq and is a predicted model, not a curated record. The transcript has 3 exons. Lineage: Eukaryota; Metazoa; Chordata; Mammalia; Rodentia; Cricetidae.
GUCUGUUGAAGAGAGUACAUUUGAAUUAUGAAUUCUAUGAAAUGGUGAAUAUUGAAAUUACUGGUAUACUUUCAGUGCAACCAUACACAGGUAUGAAGUGAUCACGGAGAGCAGCUGAGGCUUGGCACUGUGUAGCACCAUCGAAGUCUGUGAAGAGAGCCCAGGAGAGGAUGUUGGUGAAAGUGAAGCCCAUUUGCAUCAGAAGAUCUCAGAAGUUUGGAGAUGCCAGUGCCCUCGAAUGACUUCUAAGAGCAGCAGCAGCAGUGGAGUGGAACCAGUCAGAGCCUUGGAGAUACACUGUGUGUGCUGCAGAGGUGGGGCCAGAGAAGUAACUGAAAACCUUUGGAGGAGCACAAAAGAAGAGUCCAGAGUAGACAUAUAUAAUAUAUAUUGCUGUAUGGGUCACCUGGAACGGAAAAAGAGUUCAUCAGAGCAUCAGAAUUUUGUAUACUUGGAAUCCAUGCUAAUCUUUUGAAAGUAUUUAGCACAUUUAUUUUGCCAUGUUGACAUUGUGAAGGAC